UUUUUAUUGUGUGCAUGUGUAGCUGGGCUUAAGGUAAUUGCACAGUUAACCAGUUAAUUGUGCAAUACCUGUAACAUGUAGAGGGAGUCUUAAUGAGCAACAAAAUUGAUAUUGCUCCUUUAUUUAGCUCUAUGAAAUGGAAGGAAAGCACCUGGAUUUGUGAAACUUUAAUUAAGCAGGACUGGUGAGCCUCAUUACAUAAUCAGGAGUGCAGGAAAGGGAUGGUACUCUCAUUAAAUAAAGGACUUCUGAUGGAUUAGACAGCUUUUGCAUAAGAUAUUUUAUUUAAAGAAGGAGCUACUUAAUAAGCAGUGCUUCAAAAAUGAAGCAGUUCUAGCUUUCCUUAAUGAGGUAUUGUGCUUUCAGUUUUUGCCCCAAACAUUUACUCCUACACACCUGUCGAAACAUUUUCUAACAGUCAAGUCUUCAACCUAUCUUUCAUAGACAAUACAAAACUACUUCACCCACCUCCUUUCUAUCCCCCACAAAGCAUAAACAGGAGUACCCAUAUUUUAAUUUAUAAACUUCUGAGCAUACUAAGGUUGAUGAACAUACUACUCAGACCUCCCACCCCUACUCAAUCACAUUCCCUCUGCAUAUUUGGAACUCCCCUUCUUGAUUUUUAAAUAUGUGGCUCUACUCUGAAAAAUUACUUUGUAAGAACGGCAUUACAGUGUUCUGUAUUAUUUUUAGACUUCCAAAUUGAACCUGCUCAAUUUGCAAGCAUGUGGGAGAGAGAGAGAGAAUUUCCAUUUAUGUAUAUUUGAAAAUAAAGGGUUUGUUUUGUGGUACCUCUGUCUUUAAAAGUAGAUAGUCUACAAUUCUGGUUGAGUUAGUUCCUUUGAUGAUGUCUGAACAAGUAUAAAAUGCAGGUUGCUCACCUAGAACUGAAUGGGUUCUGUUAUAGUAAUAAGAGUAAAAAAUGGUAAAAACCUCUAUUAAUCAGGAUACAAAUGUGAUGCUGAUCACAGGCAGCAAACAAAUGAUUCAGAAGACAGCACUUUUAUGAAAUCGCUGUCUGAGGCAUAAUUGCAUUUUAAAACCUUUUCUUGUCCAGUCUACAAAUAAUAAAGGUAAAGAAUCGCAUUCAACUUUUGAGGAAUGUUUAGUAAUUGUAUAGUACCUAUUUAGAAUCUUUCGAAGGAAUUUUUUGAAGCAUUGAAGAAUGCACACAGUUACCAAAACCACUUAUCCAGUAUUGAGUUCAAUUGCUUAAUCAAAACACAAAUAUGUAUGUGCAAAGGACAUAUCAAGAAGUGCAAGUAAGCAUUCCAAAUGCUUAGUAAUCGCUUGAGAAAACACCAAAAGGCUAAACUGACUCAGUGGUUCUGCAAAGAACUUAAAGUGAUUCACAACAAUAAAAUGUGAAACUCUUCUGAGUUACCGGAAUACAACUUCUGUGAAAAUUGAUGAGAAUUGCACUGGCGUCCCUGAGAGCAGAAUGUGACUGUAAGUCAGGGGUAGGCAAAAUACAGCCCAUGGACUGUAUCCAGCCUGCCAACUAGAUCCAGCCGUCUGAGGGCUCCUGCCAGUCGAUUAGAUAUGGCUUGCAGCUGCCCCUUCAGCAUUCCACAUGGCCUGCAUGCCCCAGUCAGCCCCUCCACAGCUUGUUGAGCUGGGUCAGAGCAGCCCUGGGCUGGCAGGUUGACCCAGCAGGCCCCCUGCCAGCCAGAGCUGCUCCAACCCUUGCUCAAUGUGCUGCAAUCCCAGGUUCACAUUCAAACACAUCACCUGGGAGCAAUAAAAUGUGGUGUGGUAUACACUGGAGUUUAUUGCUGUGCAUUAAUAGCACUUGUAGAUACACCAACAGUGUCCUGUUCUUAAGUGUCAAGUCAAGACACCUGGCCUGUCCUGGGUAGGAUGAGCAAGAAGGAACUGCUAACAAGAGUAUUACUUGGGGUUUGGGGAGUGUGAAAGACCCUACCUGAGACUGAGGAAGGGAAGAGCAAAGAAGUGUGGCUAUACCCCAUGUAUUUUUACUGGAGGAAGUGCCAUGGAGGUCCUAAAGUAGUUAAUAUUAACUACUAGAAGUAGUUAAUAAUCAUUUUGGGUAAUCACAUCUUUGCAUGUCAUGUGUGUGCUCACACUUCAUGGUGACAACCUCUACUAAAAAUUUAGGUAGUAAUCCCUUCUGUUCUUCAGUAGGGUUAUGCAAAUUUCUUCAUAUUUAGGCUGCGUACAAAUGUACUUUCUACUAAGGGAAAUUUCUGAGACGUAUCUCCAGGUAGAAAUCCUUCCAGCAGAGGGAUCAGUACAGACAUGCAGCCUGCAGCUGCCCCCACUGUGGGGAGGGCAAGGAGAACUGUGCCUGUCCCUCCUCCUUUGCCUGUGGGGAGUAGAGCAGUGGGGAAAGACUCCCUGCAUCUGCCCCAGACCAGGCUCCAGGAACAGCCUCCUUCACUCACUCCCAGUCUCAGGGAACAGAAUGGAGGUAGCACUGGGGCAAAGCCCCCAGCUCCUAUCCCACAUGGGGCAGCGUCCAGCUUGGGGAAGAGGCAAAGAGCAGUGGCAGCUGCUCUUCUCUCCCAGACCUGUCCAAGAGGUGAAGGUAGUAGCUGGGCACUUCUCUGACUUGGGGAAGGCCAGAUCAGUCUGGGAGGGGAGAGAAUUAGCAGGGCAAAGUCCUUCUGCCUGAAGCAGCUGAGCCUCUGCUCUGCUCCCAGUCUCAGGAAGUAGAACAGAGGGAGCAGUGGGGUGAACCCUCACCCAUCUCUGACUUCUGGGACUCAAUGCGAGAAGUAGGCAAUGGGCUUGCAACACUGUCCCCUGUGCUCAGCUCCCAGCUUGUGCAGUUGAGGCAACAGAGCAGUGGAGAAAAGCCUCUGCCUGUUCUCAUACCUGAGACUUUGGUGUGAGGAGCAGGCAGCAGCUUUGCCCUGCUACCCAAGUAAGAGGCCCCUGAGCCCAGUUCCCCACUGGCUGCCUUCCCCUUGCCUCCUCCACCAUUCAGGUAAGCAGUGGGUGCAGCAGUUUAAAAGCUAGCAUGGUCAGGAGCUGAGCUUAGGGAUGCUUUCCCCAGCCCAGUUCCCCCUGCCUGGCUUCCCCUUCACACUGAGAACUCUUGAGCUGAUCAGCUCCUGGUGCCUGGGAGCAGGGUAGAGAGAAAGGUGGGGCAAAACUUUUCAUACUGAGAACUGUGGUGUGACAAGCAGGAGGGAAUAGCUAGUGGCUGCUCCUCUCCUCCCCUUCUAGUGUAUGGGAGGGACAGGAGUACAUGCUUCCCCCCCUACCCUACCUUCUCAAGAUCAAGUUGUCCCAGGUCUCAGGAAGGCAUGGGAGUCUCUCCCUCAGUUAAGUCAUGAGGAGGGUGUACAAACAUUCAGUCUCCUAGGAAAAAAACUCUCCAAGGAUUGACUUACCAGGGUUAUUUUUCUCCUGAUGCAGCUAUUUUUUUGCUCCAGGAGUUAAAGCCUGAAUGUCUGUACACUUCUGGUUUCUACUGGGAUAACACUGAUUUUCCUGGUAGAAACUGAACAUCUAUAACAUAACCUUAGUUUCACUUUGGCUUUCUCAUAAAAAGACUUCAGUCAAACUUCAGAAUACAUUAUUUCAUAAUAUUUGUUUAUAUUUCUGAGAAAUAUGAUGUAGUAGACUGCCAGCUCAAGGGGCCUGGGUGCUGCAUAUGAAAACUGUGAGAGGUUGGACAAUGUCUCUUGCACAAAAAUGUAAGACAAUUGCUGGGGAAAGACUGGAUCAUGGUAACAAGACUGCCACAAGAAUACCAAAUUCCGCUAAUGGCUUGCAACACAUUAGGCGUCAAGACAGUGGAGUGCUUGUGAUACCCAAUACCAGACUCAUGCCCUAAAAUAAUUAAAGUGAUAGUUAAAAUUGUUAACAGAGACCUAACAUGCUUAUCACAUGUAUAUUUCCAAGAUAGAGCCAAAGGAAAGGCCAAGCCAGUGAAGGCAAGGUAACUACAUAUGCAUUUCAAUUGAACUAGCAACUAAAAAAGACAAAAGACUAAAUAAUAUACAUUUCAAACAAACCUGUAAAAGGUGUACUGAAUACAGGAAGGAUGUCCUGUACGUGACAUGCUAACAUUUCUCCAAACAGGCAUCCAAUGUCUAAGGUGUUACAAAUGUCUCAAUCAUUCAGUGUAUGUCUGGAGUUUUGUAAAUAAGCCAUCACCAGUACAAGCUACUGCAAAUUUGCCACAUUGAUACAUACCCAAAGCCAGGCCUGGUAACACCUCUAAGCAUCCUGUUUGACCAUGAACACCACAUGCCCCUGGAGGCUGGCGGGGGCAUGGUGAGCUUCCGCAGGCACUGUCAGCAGCAGGAGCAUGGCGGCAGCGAGUGGUGAGCUCCUGCAGGUAGCCACGGCACUGUUAGGGGGAGAGAGGAUAGUGAGUGCUGACUGGUGGUUGGCAACCACCCGCAUGCACUGCUGGCAGUGUCAGCGGCAGCCAGCAGUGAUCGUGGACUGCCUGCAGACACUGCUGGCAGUGCUGGCAGCAAAGCGGGGGGGACCAAGCAGCAACCGCCCACAGGUGCUGCCAGCAGUGUCAGCAGCACCUUUUUGCAGGGGAUGAACAACCAAGCUCAGGGGGUGCAUGUGCACCCACACACACCCCCUACACAUCGCCAGUGUGUUUGAUCACUCAAGGCCCAUCACCUGUACUUGACCUAUAAUUGUAGGGGCUGCAUGAAACACAAGUCUUCACACCUAGACAAAUCCAAAAACAGGAACCAGGCAAUUUAACAAUUGUAAUAUGAUGGUCUCCCUUUUCCUCCCUGUUUUGUUCUGACUUUAAUCGGCCAACUAUCAAUGAAAAAUGCUUUGAAGCUAUACAAUUAAACAGUAUAAAGCAAGACAGAACUGCCAGCAAGGUGUAUGCAGUCCAGGAAAGACCAGGAAGCCAUCCUGCCACCCAGCUGAUAAGCAAAGGAUCCAUGCUGUGAGGCUGUACGAGAACUGCUUCCUGCCUGCAUUGGUUAACCCAAGAUUGGUGUAUGUUUAGUUGCCAAGUCCAUGGUCCAUAGAUGAAGGACAGCCUUCAGAAGACUGACAGCCAGAAGGUCGUCAACCCUUGGAUGCAGGUGGUGCAGAUGAGACAGGAUCAACCAAGAGCAGGACGUGUGGAGAGCAGAGUCUGCCUUGGCCAUGGAUGCGGUUCAAGCAGAUGUCUGUUCAGAAGUCUACCUGAUGGCUAAUGGUUGGCUGAUGUACAAGCAACUCCCCCAAUAUUACUGCAGUCCUACCAAUACUGGUAUUUUGAGGAAAGCUCCUAUGAAGACCGCAGGGCUGAGGGUUUCUUAAAUGAUCCAAGUUAUCAAGAGUAAGGAAGGAGCAGCUAAGACAGAACUUAGGAUUUAGCCCACAGCUUCUCAUUUCACCUUCAUGUGUCUAACAAGCACUUACAUAGCCACAUCAUUGCAAAUGUUGACAUUUAGGUUAGAUUCUACAUAGCUAUGCAUGCCCUUUGUUUAUCUCUGAGCGUGCUUCGUAAGCUGCAUUCCAGCUGUGCAGGUGCCUGGCGGAAAUGGAAUCUCCAAGCAAUGCACAUAUGGUAAUGCUAUAAAAAUCCUCAAACUUCAGCUGUUGAUUUUAUCCAUUGAAUAUUAAAGGCUAGAUGCAGUGGGCCAGCUUCAAUGGGAAGACUGGAGACCACUCCAGGCAAUGUCUAGUCCAUGGCUUGGUACAUAAAACAAUUUGCUAACAAGCAGGAGAUGCAGAUUCUAUUUGAGGGAGGCCUAGAACAUGGGUCUCCUGCUCCAUGUGAAAGUGCCCUAGGAUAUUGGGCUAAGAGGUGAGAUAGAUCACUAUAGUUGGAAAUAGAAUUCUAACUAUAGGUAAAUAUACAAAUUGCCAUUACACUGGACAUGAGUGCCACUUAGAUACAUGAAGAUGAAACAGAAGUUCGCUCUUAAGUGUAGAUGCUUCUGCCUCCAAUGGGCAUCCCUAUAUCCAUAUAGCUCUCAAGAUAUUCUGUCUUAGGAUGCAGCACUUCCUUAAUAGUGAUACUCUUACUGUCUCCUUUACCCAUAUUUUACAAUUAGCAUUGACCAGAGAAGGAGGUCAAUCCUUACUGGAGCUAUGCAUUUCUUUCUUAUUUUACAGUAUUACUAUCUUGGGUGAAGAUUCCUGACUGCUCAAAUGAGGGGUAAAUGCCAUGAGAGGCUUUUAGGAGUAGAUGUCCUACCCAUGUUGGAGCUAUAUUAUUUAAAAGUAAAGUAGAGUUAUUUAUAAAAUCUAGUCACAAGGAAAUACUUUGUGUGUAUUUUUACUUGCUUGGGAAAGCAAUGCAUUGUAUUGCUACUUGCACAGCCAACUAUACAAUGUACUGUAAGUAGAAGAUACUGUAAGAUAAUUUUCAUACACCCAUUCAAAUCAUCCAAGACAACUCUCCCAGGUUUGUUUUCCUGAGAGAAAAACUGACCUGUACAGAAGUUCAGACAGAAAAG
Molecule: long non-coding RNA, 6404 nt
Organism: Alligator sinensis (Chinese alligator)
Lineage: Eukaryota; Metazoa; Chordata; Crocodylia; Alligatoridae
Exons: 3
Source: RefSeq, a predicted model, not a curated record